This 253-nucleotide ribosomal RNA is filed under the name uncultured bacterium. RNAcentral describes it as "partial 16S ribosomal RNA". It matches the Rfam family "Bacterial small subunit ribosomal RNA", at positions 524 to 776 of the family's 1533-position model. The record is from RNAcentral.
UACAGAGGUCCCAAGCGUUGUCCGGAUUUAUUGGGCGUAAAGCGCACGCAGGCGGUCUGCUAAGUUUGGAGUGACAGUUGGUGGCUUAACUGCCAAAGUGCUUCGAAAACUGACAGACUUGAGGGCUUCAGAGGGACACGGAAUUCCGGGUGGAGUGGUGAAAUGCGUAGAGAUCCGGAGGAACACCAAAGGCGAAGGCAGUGUCCUGGGGAGUACCUGACGCUCAGGUGCGAAAGCCAGGGGAGCGAACGGG